CCCUUAGAUGAUUUGGGCUGCACGCGCGCUACACUGACGGAGCCAACGAGUACUUUCCUUGUCCGGAAGGACUGGGUAAUCUUGUGAAACUUCGUCGUGCUGGGGAUAGAGCAUUGCAAUUAUUGCUCUUCAACGAGGAAUUCCUAGUAAGCGUGAGUCAUCAGCUCGCGUUGAUUACGUCCCUGCCCUUUGUACACACCGCCCGUCGCUACUACCGAUUGAAUGGCUUAGUGAGCCUUUGGGAUUGGCAGCUUGUACCGGCAACGGUAGCAGGCCGCUGAAAACUUAGGCAAACUUGGUCAUUUAGAGGAAGUAAAAGUCGUAACA
This 327-nucleotide ribosomal RNA is filed under the name uncultured eukaryote. Its description in RNAcentral is "partial 18S ribosomal RNA". It matches the Rfam family "Eukaryotic small subunit ribosomal RNA", at positions 1470 to 1796 of the family's 1831-position model. The record is from RNAcentral.